AGGAAGUUAGUCUAAUCAAGACAGUUGGCUUCGGCCCAACAAAUUAUAGAUCCACCUAUAACUUCCUC
RNAcentral lists this transfer RNA (68 nucleotides) under Dendrortyx macroura. RNAcentral's name for it is "tRNA-Arg". The record is from RNAcentral. Lineage: Eukaryota; Metazoa; Chordata; Aves; Galliformes; Odontophoridae.